GUGAGGAAUAUUGGUCAAUGGGCGAGAGCCUGAACCAGCCAAGUCGCGUGAAGGAAGAAGGAUCUAUGGUUCGUAAACUUCUUUUGCAGGGGAAUAAAGUGCGGGACGUGUCCUGUUUUGUAUGUACCCUGAGAAUAAGGAUCGGCUAACUCCGUGCCAGCAGCCGCGGUAAUACGGAGGAUCCGAGCGUUAUCCGGAUUUAUUGGGUUUAAAGGGUGCGGAGGUGGUUUGAUAAGUCAGCGGUGAAAGUUUGCAGCUUAACUGUAAAAAUGCCGUUGAAACUGUCGGACUUGAGUGUAAAUGAGGUAGGCGGAAUGCGUGGUGUAGCGGUGAAAUGCAUAGAUAUCACGCAGAACUCCGAUUGCGAAGGCAGCUUACUAAGCUACAACUGACACUGAAGCACGAAAGCGUGGGGAUCAAACAGGAUUAGAUACCCCGGUAGUCC
This 445-nucleotide ribosomal RNA is filed under the name uncultured bacterium. Its description in RNAcentral is "partial 16S ribosomal RNA". It matches the Rfam family "Bacterial small subunit ribosomal RNA", at positions 354 to 796 of the family's 1533-position model. The record is from RNAcentral.